CCGGGCUUGAACUACAGAUGGUAGGUCCCUAGUAAACAGGGGCCGACCCGCAAGGGAGUCUGCAGAGGUGCUGCAUGGUUGUCGUCAGCUCGUGUCGUGAGAUGUUGGGUUAAGUCCCGCAACGAGCGCAACCCCUAUCCAAUGUUGCUAAUCCCGCAAGGGAUGCACUCUUUGGAAACUGCCUUCGAUAAGAAGGAGGAAGGUGGGGACGACGUCAAAUCCUCAUGGCCCUUAUGUCCGGGGCUACACACGUGUUACAAUGGCCGGUACAGAGGGAAGCAAUACCGCAAGGUGGAGCAAAACUCAAAAAGCCGGCCCCAGUUCAGAUUGUGGGCUGCAACUCGCCCACAUGAAGGCGGAAUCGCUAGUAAUCGCAGAUCAGCAGGCUGCGGUGAAUACGUUCCC
This 405-nucleotide ribosomal RNA is filed under the name uncultured soil bacterium. Its description in RNAcentral is "bacterial SSU rRNA". It matches the Rfam family "Bacterial small subunit ribosomal RNA", at positions 975 to 1375 of the family's 1533-position model. The record is from RNAcentral.